GAGUAGUGAUAAGACAAAGUCACCCUCCACACUGUCACCCUCUAUAUUGUCACCCUCCAUGCUGUCGCCCUCCAGGAAGUCACCCUCCACACCAUCACAGGCACAUUCUCUUAAUCUUUUUUGGUGUUGUUUGUUUGUUUGUUUGUUUGUUUUUCAAGACAGGGUUUCUCUGUGUGGCCCUGGCUGUCUUGGAACUUGCUCUGCAAACCAGCGUGACCUUAAACUCAAGAGAUUCUCGGGUCUGCCUCAGCCUCCGGAGUUCUGGGAUUAAAGGUGCUGCACCACCACCACCUGGCACCUUAUAAUCUUUUAAGAACUGGACUCAGGAAAAAGGUAGGUCCUUUGCUGCCAUAUGGGAAAGAAUUUCAGGACAAGCUGGUCCGAAGCAGAGAUUUUGUUUUGUUUUGUUUUGUUUUGUUUUGUUUUGUUUUGUUUUGUUUUGUUUUACCAUGGGAGUUAAGACAGUGAGAGAACUCAGAGGAAGACUAAGACAGACCCAAGUGUGGACAUGGGGUUCUUAGGAGAGAGCUGGAGUUAAGUGUCUUAGGACGCCAUGUUGCCCAUUUUGGUGGGCACUCAAGUUACAUCUCACAGGAAUGCUAAGAAACCUUUUCUUACCUCCUUUUAAACAAAUGUACUUAGAGGAUGCCUGACAAGGUGACAUAGAAUGGGAUUUUUAAUCUGGUACUGUAAAACCAGGAGCCAUUACAAAAGGGAUUAGGAAAUGUCCUCUUACUGUGAAUGGGGUUCCCGUGAGAGUCCUAGGAAACUGUAGGUCAAGAGCUUGACUGCAGAGAAAGGCUUUGCAAAUGGUAAUUGUUCGCGAAUCCUCAACACUCUAGAGACUUCAGGAGACUCUGGAGUGAGGCUUUCUUUCCCUACCCCCACACCCCUAAAUUCCUGUCUUUCUAUUCUUCCUCAAGAGGAAGGCACCAUGCAUGUGCAUGAACUUAGGUACCAGCAAGCAUGGGUUCCUUUCCUGGCAUCUGUAGAAAUAUACUGUGGACCCCAUUACAACACAUGCAGAAGAGUAGAUGAGAGUACCUAGUCUUGUUUGACCACUACCCUAAAGCUGUUACUAUUUCCUUUCUAUUUCAGUUUAUAGUUUAACAGUUUGUAAACUUUAUAUAAGAAAACUUGCAAAUAAAUGAGAACAUUGUAUACCAAAGUUGACCCAAAAUCAGUGCAAACCUUGAGAAGUUAGAGCUGGCAUUAGGAACAGCAGCUGUGAACCUUCACAUUAGAUUUCAUACUUUCAGUAUCGCAUACACUUUAUGCAUGCAACCAUCUCCCAACCCCCCAAAAUCUGUGACAAGCUUAGAACUAGAAAAGCAAUUAAUUUCAUCUCCUCUUUCAUAACUCCUGUCCAUGACCUGCACCCGGUCCUCCCUCGUCCCCUGGUACUAGCCUGGUUGCCCUUUCUUCAUGUCAUGCUGUGACCAACAACUAUUUACAUGUAUGUGCAUAUCAUUGGGUAGAUUCUGCAUAUGAAGAGAAUGUGUAGCUUAGUUCAUUCUGAGGCUGUGUGGCCUUGCUUAAUAUACAUUCUAAAUCCAUCUAUCUAUCUUCUUGUACAUUUUUAACUUUGUUCUUUAGAGUUGUAUGUGUAUAAAUAUGGCAUAUAUAAUAUAUAAUAUAUACUAUUUCAGUUCAAUAUAUAUGUGUGUAUAUAUGUAUAUAUAUAAUAUUGUAUAUGGCAUACAUAGCAUAUAGUACAUAUGGCAUAUAGAUGUAUAACAUAUAUUAGUAUUUCUAUUAUUCAUUCACUUGUUGAAGGAGAACUAAAAAGUUGGUUAAAUUCUUUGCUAAUAGUGACAAAAGCAGCAGCUAACAGGGGCUGAAAAUAUCUCAGUGGUAGGGUGUAAAGUUCUCUGGGUUUUCUCCCAGGAGUGAAAUACUAUUUCUAAUGUUUUAUUUUUUAAGAAACCUCCAGACUGAUUUCACAGUGGCCAUAUUCGUUUUCACCCCACCAACAAUGGGUGAGGCUCUGACUCUAUCCACAUUUCUUGUCAGAUUCCUUGGUGACUGCCAUUCUGACAAGGGUGAGGUGGCACCUCAAUGUAGUAUCAAUUUGCAUUUCCCUGAUGGCUAGGAAUAUUGAACAGUUUUAAAAUGGCUAUUGGCCAUUUGUGUUUGAAAAUUCUCUAUUCAGUUCGUUGCCCAUUUGAUGGUUGGCAGUUUUAUUCACUUGGCAUUUGAUUUCUGAAAUUCUUUGUACUUAAUUUAUAACAAUUACGUGUUAUUUCAAUACACAAUGUAAAAUAGCUGGUUAACAUCUAGCAUUCAGGUUAUGUUGUAUAAGAGCUCCAAGUUCUGGUACAUAUCUCAGUUCCAACAAGCCACACAGCAAGUGCUCAGUGGCCCCCACAGUGACUGGGGCACACAGUAAAGCCAGCACAGCAUCUAGUGAUAGAGUUUUCCUGAACUUGGGGCAUAGAUUGUGCUCCUGAAGCAGGCUUAACGCUCAUCUUCAAUAAUUAAAUUAUAAUAAUAAUUAAAAUUGUCAUACUGGGGGCUGAAGAGAUGGUUCUGCCAUGAAGAGCCCUGGCUGCUCUUGCAGAAGACCCAGUUUUGAUACCCAGAACCCAUUAGGCAGCUCACAACCAUUUGUAGCUCCAACUCUAGGGGAUAUCUUUUGGAAAGAGAGACAGAGACAUAAGUGAUUCCCCAGGUCCACCUUCCAGGUCACAAAGCAAAAUUUAAAUAUAGAGAGUGAGGUUUAAGUCCAUAAAGAGAGCUAUUGAUACAUGCACUCAAACUGUCCAGGUCAAGGUGUGGUCAUGUCCACUCCUGUCCCACCAUGUCUGGCUUCCAGUCUCCCCAGCAAAGUGGUCUGAUAGCUGUUAGCACUGAGUGACAUCUCCUGGGAGACCAGUUCCCUCUCUGGCUGACAUCAGGCUAGUCUUUCUCUUCUCUCAGCAGGAGAUUUCUGGGGUGGCUCUAGCUCCUCAGUGGCCAUUUCUUUAGUAGUCUGAUGACCAAAAAGGAUGGGCACAAGUGUCUCUUUAUAGCACCUUGGUCUCAGCAAGCCCAGGUGUAAUGGUGCUCCCUGGAGCUGUGAUUUUCAUAUGACUUCUGUUGAACUUUCUGAAGCCCUAAAUAGCUCUGUUCACAUGCCUUUUCCUCCCUGAGGACCCGAGUCCUGCUUUCUCUUCCACUGUCCUCACAGUGUGGCUACCUCCUUCUGUCCCUUGGUUUCCAUCCCAUUGAAACCACGCUGGCCAUGACUCAUUCCUUCUGCUUUGUCUCCCUCCAUAUAUUUAAUGUCAGCUCUACAAGUGCCUUCCUUGCUUGACUUCUCUGUUUUCCCCAUCUGGAAUCAGGAAAGGAAAAUAACAAACACAGGAGAAAAAUAUUAGAGAGUUAAGAAAACAUAACUCCCUCCCCCAUGAAGCACCUGACUCUGGGGACAAGGAAGUUUUUGUUACUUUUCUUCCUUUGUGGAGGACACUCAACACUUUAUUUUUUUAAGGGAUGGGGCCUACCAUGUGCUGCUAUUACAGAGGACCUAAGUUUGGUUUCCAGCACCCACAUUGGAUAAACCCAACUGCCUGAAACUCUACUCACAGGUACAUGCCCACCUACCCAUAUACAUGCAUGCAAUUAAAAAAAAAUCAAAAUUGGGCUGGAAAAAUGGCUCAACAGUUCAGAGCAAUGGCUGCCUUCUCAAAGGACCUAGAUCCAAUUCUAAGCAUCUACAUGGCAGCCUACAACCAUCCGUAACUCCAGUUCCAGGGGAUCUGUCUCCCAUUUUUGCUUCUGUGGGCAUCAUGCAUGAUCCUGAUGUACACACACACACACACACACACACACACACACACACACACGCCAAACAAACAUAUACAUAAAGAUAUAAGAGAGCUUAAAAAAAAACAGCAUUCAAGAAUGAAAAUAAUGUGGUAGAGUCACCAAUAUUCUACUUCUUUAGGUUUUUACUCUUGGUGAUUCCAAAGAUGGCCUCCUACUAAUGGCCUGCCAUCCUGCUGUCAGCCUGACAAGGCAGCAAGAUCAAGACUGACAAGCACUCUCUGAGCUGGCGGCCAUCCUUUCCUUUCAAAGCAUCCUCCCUUCACCCAGGAGUGAUGGGACACCUUUGAGUUUUCCUCUCACAGGGGAAACUGCACAUGAGUGAUUGCUUGGCUUGGUAAAGGGCAGGAGGUGAGGGUGAAGUAUUCAGUGUGUGUUGAUGGACCUGGGUCGGAGUCUUGAGAGGAAUUCUGACAUGAGCCUGUCAGAAUUCAAAGGACUUUCAAAGAAUGAAAUAAAAGAUGAAACUAAUUUGUUUCCACGCCAGCACAGAGCAAAGAGCAGCAGCUGAAGGCAGCAGCAUCCAUUGCUCCAUUGCUCCAUGCCUCCUGAGCAUACACCAGGAAGUGUUGGCAGUUGAGCCCAGUUCAAAUGGGAACGCCUUGGCGUGGUGCUGGCCCCCUUCCUGCUCUUUCCUCUUCUCCCUUUCCCUAGCUUCUCUAGAAGAUUUGACAGAUGCAUUCCAGGAGGAUUCUUUCUCCACUACCCACAUAGAGGAGUCUGUGUGCUAAGGAGCCCGUGCCUGGGCUUCAUGAACUAUAUAUCCAGCCACUUGGGAUUCAGGGAAGGUUAAAUAAGUAAUAGCAUCUGAGGACACAGCCUGAGUCAACACCCUCCCGAAGCUGCUCCCAUUUGUUAAAAGAUGAUGGUCAUUAAAAGCUUUGAUCUUUUUCCAGUCAGUUAAACAAAACAAGAAUGUAGUCAAAAUUCUUUCUCCAGAACCCCUUUACCCCUUUUGUGGCCUGAGUUAACAAUCACUACCUGCUUUGCCUGCACAGAGUGUAUGGGUAUUAAUAGAUAACUUUUAGUCAGCCACCUUGUGACUACAUUGUCUCCAUAUGGAUAUGAGGGAGGGAUAGUCCGAAGCAGGGAUAGUCUGGGCAGUCUGUCUCCUCUUCACUCUUUCUGAUGUAUGUCCAAGUUCUC
Molecule: long non-coding RNA, 4953 nt
Filed under: Mus musculus (house mouse)
Lineage: Eukaryota; Metazoa; Chordata; Mammalia; Rodentia; Muridae
Description: long non-coding RNA chr9:115665965-115670918
Source: RNAcentral